AAUGGGGGCAACCCUGAUCCAGCCAUGCCGCGUGUGUGAAGAAGGCCUUAGGGUUGUAAAGCACUUUCAGUGGGGAGAAAGGUGAUUCACCUAAUACGUGAGUCAAUUGAUGCUACCCACAGAAGAAGCACCGGCUAACUCCGUGCCAGCAGCCGCGGUAAUACGGAGGGUGCAAGCGUUAAUCGGAAUUACUGGGCGUAAAGCGCACGUAGGUGGUUUGUUAAGCCAGCUGUGAAAUCCCCGGGCUCAACCUGGGCACUGCAGUUGGAACUGGCAAGCUAGAGUAGGGUAGAGGGGUGUGGAAUUCCAGGUGUAGCGGUGAAAUGCGUAGAUAUCUGGAGGAACAUCAGUGGCGAAGGCGACACCCUGGACUCAUACUGACACUGAGGUGCGAAAGCGUGGGGAGCAAA
Molecule: ribosomal RNA, 410 nt
Filed under: uncultured bacterium
Lineage: Bacteria
Description: bacterial SSU rRNA
Rfam family: Bacterial small subunit ribosomal RNA
Source: RNAcentral